This 310-nucleotide ribosomal RNA is filed under the name uncultured bacterium. RNAcentral's name for it is "partial 16S ribosomal RNA". It matches the Rfam family "Bacterial small subunit ribosomal RNA", at positions 503 to 807 of the family's 1533-position model. The record is from RNAcentral.
AAGAGACAGCAGUCGCCGCGGUAAUACGUAGGGCGCAAGCGUUGUCCGGAAUUAUUGGGCGUAAAGAGCUCGUAGGCGGUCUGUCGCGUCUGGUGUGAAAUCCCGAGGCUCAACCUCGGGCUUGCAUCGGGUACGGGCAGACUAGAGUGCGGUAGGGGAGACUGGAAUUCCUGGUGUAGCGGUGGAAUGCGCAGAUAUCAGGAGGAACACCGAUGGCGAAGGCAGGUCUCUGGGCCGCAACUGACGCUGAGGAGCGAAAGCAUGGGGAGCGAACAGGAUUAGAUACCCGUGUAGUCCCUGUCUCUUAUAC